GCCCGGGUAGCUCAAUCGGUAGAGCGUGUGGCUCUUAAAAUCAGAGAAAUCUGACUCUUCAAGAGAAAUAUAAACCUCAAGGUCGUGGGUUCGAGCCCCACCUCGGGCU
RNAcentral lists this transfer RNA (109 nucleotides) under Cadophora sp. MPI-SDFR-AT-0126. Its description in RNAcentral is "Leotiomycetes sp. MPI-SDFR-AT-0126 tRNA". It matches the Rfam family "tRNA". Rfam says of the family: Transfer RNA (tRNA) molecules are approximately 80 nucleotides in length. The record is from Rfam by way of RNAcentral. Lineage: Eukaryota; Fungi; Ascomycota; Leotiomycetes; Helotiales; Ploettnerulaceae.